AGAGUUUGAUCCUGGCUCAGGAUGAACGCUAGCUACAGGCUUAACACAUGCAAGUCGAGGGGCAGCAUGAACUUAGCUUGCUAAGUUUGAUGGCGACCGGCGCACGGGUGAGUAACACGUAUCCAACCUGCCGAUGACUCGGGGAUAGCCUUUCGAAAGAAAGAUUAAUACCCGAUGGCAUAGUUCUUCCGCAUGGUAGAACUAUUAAAGAAUUUCGGUCAUCGAUGGGGAUGCGUUCCAUUAGGUUGUUGGCGGGGUAACGGCCCACCAAGCCUUCGAUGGAUAGGGGUUCUGAGAGGAAGGUCCCCCACAUUGGAACUGAGACACGGUCCAAACUCCUACGGGAGGCAGCAGUGAGGAAUAUUGGUCAAUGGACGAGAGUCUGAACCAGCCAAGUAGCGUGAAGGAUGACUGCCCUAUGGGUUGUGAACUUCUUUCAUACGGGAAUAAAGUGAGGCACGUGUGCCUUUUUGUAUGUACCGUAUGAAUAAGGAUCGGCUAACUCCGUGGCAGCAGACGCGGUAAUACGGAGGAUCCGAGCGUUAUCCGGAUCUAUUGGGUGUAAAGGGAGCGUAUGCGGACGCUUAAGUCAGUUGUGAAAGUGUGCGGCUCAACCGUUGAAAUGCUGUUGAUACUGGGUGUCUUGAGUACAGUACAGGCAGGCGGAAUUCGUGGUGUAGCGGGGAAGAUGCUUAGAUAUCACGAAGAACUCCGAUUGCCAAAGCCGCUUGCUGGACUGUAACUGACGCUUAUGCUCGACAGUGUGGGUUUCACACAGGAUUAGAUACCCUGGUAAUCCACGCAGUAAACGAUGAAUACUCGCUGUUUGCGAUAUUCAGGUGAGCGGCCAAGGCGAGAGCGUUAAGUAUUCCACCUGGGGAGUACGCCGGCUGACGGUGCAGACUCAACGGACUUGACGGGGGCCCGCGCCAGGCGGGAGGAGCCUGUGGUUUGAUUCGAUGAUACGCGAGGAACCUUACCCGGGCUUUGAUUGCGGCUGGAGUGAUG
Molecule: ribosomal RNA, 1008 nt
Filed under: human gut metagenome
Description: bacterial SSU rRNA
Rfam family: Bacterial small subunit ribosomal RNA
Source: RNAcentral